Chlorocebus sabaeus (green monkey) is the source of this 3167-nucleotide non-coding RNA. NCBI's taxonomy places the organism in Eukaryota, Metazoa, Chordata, Mammalia, Primates, Cercopithecidae. The record is from RefSeq and is a predicted model, not a curated record.
GGGGGCUGCGGACCCCUUAACGUGGAUUACUUGGUGUGUAUCAGCUGGGCUCAGAAGACCCACGACCUCCUCUCCGUCCGUGGAUUGAUUCGUUCUACUUAACAGCUGGGUCGCCAAGCUGGAGAAAACUACACAAAAGUGCCCAAAGCAGGAAAAACAUCUAAUUCACACAGUAAUGCUGGCAAUUUGAUCUAUUUCCUCACUGGUGAAAUCCUACAAAAUAUACAACUUUUUCUCCUCUUCUUUAUUUGUGUAAUCUUAUUUGAACAUUUCCCCCAUGUCGUGAUGGCAUGGUAACUGUAUUCUGCUGCAGGCAUUGACUCAUAAUUUGCUUGACAAUUUCCCUAUUGUUGGACACUAAGUUGUUUCCAAAUUUUUACCCUUAGAAGUAAUACAGUGAGCAUUUUUUGUACAUAAAGAUUUGUCCACAUAUCGUAUUAUUUUCUUUGGAAAAUUCCCAGAAAUUGCUAUAUUUGCUUUAAGUUAGAGUUAUGUCUAAAGCAAAGGAAUAACUCUAUUUCUGGACAUUGUUGAGAUGGGCUUGGAGGAAAAGACGCCACUUACCCAUCAGAUAAUACUGCAUCUUGGAGCGGGGACGCAGAAGUCGCACAGAGUGAAUGGCUACCGAGCAAAUGAAGUGUUUUGUUUUGUUUCUUUUUGUAUCAAAUAAUUGAUCAGCAUUGGUAUGAGAAUAACUUAAAAUUUGCCGUUGGGAUUAUGAUGUACCUUUUUUCAAGCAAUACCAUAAAGUAAGAUAUAUCAGGCAGCUAGAUUUAACAUGCUGUCUUUUUUAAAAAAUUAACUUUUGAUUCUGACAUAAAUCUAGAUUUGCAGGAGUUACAAAAAUAAUGCCAAAGUCUCCACUACAUCCUUUACCCCGCUUCCCCAAAUGCUAACGUCUGAUAUAUCCAUGGUGCAAUGAUCAGACCUGGGACACUGACAUUGACACACACUUUUAACUAAUCUACAGGCCUUAUUCAGAUUUCUCCAUUUGUCCCACUCAUGUCCUUUUUCUGGUCCAGGGUCCAAUUUGGGAUCCUGUAAUGGGACCUUGUAAAAAAGCGGGAACCUAGAGUGGGACAGAAGACAGGCUUUGUUCAGGAGGAGGUUUGAAACUGGGACGUCAUUUCCAUUUUCCUCCCCAAGUGAAUUUGCCCUUCCUCUACUGACGGUAGCAGAGCUGUGUCAGGCUUCCAGGGCCUAUGGGAGCCUGCCCGUAAGUGGGGAAAGCAUCUCUGUGUACCCCUUCCCUCCUUUCCUCUCCCCAAACCUAUAGCGGGAAUGUGUGUGUCAUUGAGUGAAAUUGGGUUAUUACCCAGUCUGCCCUGACACGUCUUCUGGGGGGUAGACAGUUGCCAUCCGGUGUGCGUGAGAGCAAGCUGCUGAGCCGCUGAAUCCGUGGUUGACAAGUACACCGUGCAAUGCCUGUGUGGGUGACUCAUGCCGGCUGCAGUAGCAGGUGUGUCGGGAGCUAAACGUGCAGACCCAGCAGGCGGAAUCGGAGGUUUCUGGCUGACUCGGUGGGUGCUUUGUACCAGGAAAGGACAAGAAAGAGACAGUGAGCUUGGUACCCUCAACACAAGAAGGAAAACAUGGUUGCUACUGCAGCCUGCAGCUGGCCAGGUCGACUUGCACUACCAGGCUGGGGAACAUCAGGAGGAUGGGAAGGAGGACUGAUCCACGUUCCCACCAGGAAGCUUAGUGGAACCCCUGUAUGCCACCUGGACCCCCUGGAAGGACCUGGUCAAGGCUGAACCACCUCUUGAGUGGCAGGAGCUCCGGAUUUGAUCAAAAAUUCUUGGCUGGGCAUGGUGCCUCAUGCCUAUAAUCCCAACACUUUGGGAAACCAAGGUGGGAGGAUUGCUUGAGUCUGGGAGUUCAAGACCAGCCUGGGCAACAUAAGGAGACCCCAUCUCUAAAAAAUAGUAAUAAUAAAAUAAAAAAUUAGCAGGGCAUGGUGGCAUGUGCCUGUAGUCCCAGCUACCCAGAAGGCUGAGGCAAGAGGACGGCUGGAGCCUGGGACGUUGAGGCUGCAAAGAACUGUGAUUACCCCACUGCACUCCAGUCUGGGCAACAGAGCGAGAGACCCUGUCUCAAAAUAAUACUACUAAUAGUCUUAUUUUGGAGAAUAAAGAAACCUCUGGAUUUGAGGAGCCAUUUGGGUAGAAAGCAAAGACCUUCACAAUGAGAAAUAGUCUGUGUUGACCUGAAGGAGCAGAGGGAUGCAUCGCUGGAGGUGACCUACAGUUGGAGAAGACUCAUUAUGCCAGACCUUGUCCUUCUUCCUUGUGGAAAAUGUUUCCUCUGCUGCUACUGCUCAUGAGACUCUUCCCCCUCCCUGUCUCAGGCAACCAAAGGGCUUUCUACCACGCCCUUUCUUGCCCCCCGCCUCCCAUGUCUGCUGUGCCUUUGUACUCAGCAAUUCUUGUUUGCUCCAUUAUCUUCCAGCCGGAUACAGAGUGAAUAGUUAACCACACUUAGGUCAAAUAGGAUCUGAAUUUUUGUUCCUGCUCCGUCUAAAGAGGCCAGUGUUUGUGCGUUGCAAGCAGCCUUGGAAUAGUAACUCUUCUCAUUUGUUUGGGAUCUCAUUGUAUUCCUCAGCCAUCAAGUUCCAGAAUGAUACAUGGAUCAGUGCAGAAGUUCAUCAGGCUCUCGGACCUUAGGGCCAUUGGAGAAGGCUUCAGCAGGGGAACUGAUGGUGAAGGCUGGUGUUCUCCAUCCUCAACUUUCUUUGCUUGGAUCACACAUAAGUAUACAUUUGGAAGGGAAAAAAAUGAACACUGUUGUUCAUUGCAGCCGUGUUUUGUGACACAGAUGCACAGUCUGCUGUGAAGACCUUCUCACAAGUGGCAGUUGGGGGUCCAUGCCAGAUCAUGGUGCUUCAUGACAGACUAACAGCUGCCAGGGAUGGUGACACCUAGUGAGGACCCUCCUCCCCCAGUAUGUGCUGAUGACACAUACACACCUGACAAUAGCUUGAGUCUUCUCUGUUCUUUUUACUCUGUGGCCACCAUACACAUGAUUUAAAACCCUUCCUAAAUAUCUAUCAUGGUUCACCCUUGUCCAAAUGCAGAGUCAAAGCUACUUGUACUUUAUUAUUAUUUCCAAGGCAAAUAGAUGGCUUGCUUUUUACAAAAAGAAUUAAAGCUUUUGUAUGUUGCAGUUGA